RNAcentral lists this ribosomal RNA (305 nucleotides) under uncultured bacterium. Its description in RNAcentral is "bacterial SSU rRNA". It matches the Rfam family "Bacterial small subunit ribosomal RNA", at positions 336 to 638 of the family's 1533-position model. The record is from RNAcentral.
UUCCUACGGGGGGCAGCAGUGAGGAAUAUUGGUCAAUGGCCGGAAGGCUGAACCAGCCAAGCCGCGUGAAGGACGAAGGUGCCAAGCAUUGUAAACUUCUUUUGUCAAGGGACAAAAUCAGGCUCGAGAGCCUGACCGAGGGUACUUGAAGAAAAAGCAUCGGCUAACUCCGUGCCAGCAGCCGCGGUAAUACGGAGGAUGCGAGCGUUAUCCGGAUUUAUUGGGCGUAAAGGGAACGCAGGCGGUCUUUUAAGUCUGAUGUGAAAGCCUUCGGCUUAACCGGAGUAGUGCAUUGGAAACUGGGG